AAAAUGACUCUCGGCAACGGAUAUCUCGGCUCUUGCAUCGAUGAAGAACGCAGCGAAAUGCGAUACUUGGUGUGAAUUGCAGAAUCCCGUGAACCAUCGAGUCUUUGAACGCAAGUUGCGCCCAAAGCCAUUAGGCUGAGGGCACGCCUGCCUGGGUGUCAC
This 162-nucleotide ribosomal RNA is filed under the name Phaseolus vulgaris (common bean). RNAcentral's name for it is "5.8S ribosomal RNA". It matches the Rfam family "5.8S ribosomal RNA". Rfam says of the family: 5.8S ribosomal RNA (5.8S rRNA) is a component of the large subunit of the eukaryotic ribosome. It is transcribed by RNA polymerase I as part of the 45S precursor that also contains 18S and 28S rRNA. Functionally, it is thought that 5.8S rRNA may be involved in ribosome translocation. Lineage: Eukaryota; Viridiplantae; Streptophyta; Magnoliopsida; Fabales; Fabaceae. The record is from RNAcentral.